GACGAACGCUGGCGGCGUGCUUAACACAUGCAAGUCGAACGGGAAGGCCCUGCUUUUGUGGGGUGCUCGAGUGGCGAACGGGUGAGUAACACGUGAGUAACCUGCCCUUGACUUUGGGAUAACUUCAGGAAACUGGGGCUAAUACCAGAUAGGAGCUCCUGCUGCAUGGUGGGGGUUGGAAAGUUUCGGCGGUUGGGGAUGGACUCGCGGCUUAUCAGCUUGUUGGUGGGGUAGUGGCUUACCAAGGCUUUGACGGGUAGCCGGCCUGAGAGGGUGACCGGCGACAUGGGGACUGCGAUAGGGCCCAGACUGCUACGGGAGGCAGCAGUGGGGAAUAUUGCACAAUGGGCGGAAGCCUGAUGCAGCAACGCCGGGGGCGGGAUGACGGCCUUCGGGUUGUAAACCGCUUUCGCCUGUGACGAAGCGUGAGUGACGGUAAUGGGUAAAGAAGCACCGGCUAACUACGUG
This 468-nucleotide ribosomal RNA is filed under the name uncultured bacterium. Its description in RNAcentral is "partial 16S ribosomal RNA". It matches the Rfam family "Bacterial small subunit ribosomal RNA", at positions 28 to 507 of the family's 1533-position model. The record is from RNAcentral.